This 301-nucleotide ribosomal RNA is filed under the name uncultured bacterium. RNAcentral's name for it is "partial 16S ribosomal RNA". It matches the Rfam family "Bacterial small subunit ribosomal RNA", at positions 509 to 809 of the family's 1533-position model. The record is from RNAcentral.
CAGCAGCCGCGGUAAUACAGAGGAUGCAAGCGUUAUCCGGAUUUAUUGGGUUUAAAGGGUGCGUAGGUGGCCUGUUAAGUCAGGGGUGAAAGACGGUAGCUCAACUAUCGCAGUGCCCUUGAUACUGAUGGGCUUGAAUGAACUAGAGGUAGGCGGAAUGUGACAAGUAGCGGUGAAAUGCAUAGGUAUGUCACAGAACACCAAUUGCGAAGGCAGCUUACUAUGGUUUGAUUGACACUGAGGCACGAAAGCGUGGGGAUCAAACAGGAUUAGAGACCCCUGUAGUCCCUGUCUCUUAUAA